RNAcentral lists this ribosomal RNA (267 nucleotides) under uncultured bacterium. RNAcentral describes it as "partial 16S ribosomal RNA". It matches the Rfam family "Bacterial small subunit ribosomal RNA", at positions 793 to 1055 of the family's 1533-position model. The record is from RNAcentral.
GUCCACGCCGUAAACGAUGAUAACUAGCUGUCCGGGUACAUGGUAUUUGGGUGGCGCAGCUAACGCAUUAAGUUAUCCGCCUGGGGAGUACGGUCGCAAGAUUAAAACUCAAAGGAAUUGACGGGGGCCUGCACAAGCGGUGGAGCAUGUGGUUUAAUUCGAAGCAACGCGCAGAACCUUACCAACGUUUGACAUCCCUAUCGCGGUUACCAGAGAUGGUUUCCUUCAGUUCGGCUGGAUAGGUGACAGGUGCUGCAUGGCUGUCGU